Molecule: ribosomal RNA, 655 nt
Filed under: uncultured archaeon
Lineage: Archaea
Description: bacterial SSU rRNA
Rfam family: Archaeal small subunit ribosomal RNA
Source: RNAcentral
CGGUACGGCCAGUGGGAGCUGUAGCCCGGAGUUGGGGACUGAGACAAGGCCCCAGGCCCUACCGGGGCGCAGCAGGCGCGAAACCUCUGCAAUACGGGAANCCGUGACAGGGGGAUUCCAAGUGCUCAUGCAUUGCAUGGGCUGUUCUUUGGUCUAAGUAACCAGAGGAGUAAGGGCUGGGCAAGACCGGUGCCAGCCGCCGCGGUAAUACCGGCAGCUCGAGUGGUAGCCGCGAUUAUUGGGCCUAAAACGUUCGUAGCCGGAUAAGUAAGUCUUUGGUUAAAUCCUACGACUUAACCGUGGGAAAUCUAGAGAUACUGCUUGUCUUGAGACCGGGAGAGGUUGGAGGUACUCCCAGGGUAGGGGUGAAAUCCUGUAAUCCUGGGGGGACCACCUGUGGCGAAGGCGUCCAACUGGAACGGCUCUGACGGUGAGGGACGAAACCUAGGGGAGCGAGCCGGAUUAGAUACCCGGGUAGUCCUAGGCGUAAAUGAUGCGAGUUAAGUGUGGGGGCAUCUACGAGAUGCCCUGUGCUGUAGGGAAGCUGUUAAGUCUGCCGCCUGGGGAGUACGAUCGCAAGAUUGAAACUUAAAGGAAUUGGCGGGGGAGCACCACAAGGGGUGAAGCUUGCGGUUUAAUUGGAGUCAACGCCGGG